AUUCCAGCUCCAAUAGCGUAUAUUUAAGUUGUUGCAGUUAAAAAGCUCGUAGUUGAAUCUUGGGAUGGGGCGAGCGGUCCGCCUCUUUUGGUGUGCACUGGUCUCUCCAUCCUUUUGGUCGGGGACGCGCUCCUGGUCUUAACUGGCUGGGACGCGGAGUCGACGAUGUUACUUUGAAAAAAUUAGAGUGCUCAAAGCAAGCCUAUGCUCUGAAUACAUUAGCAUGGAAUAACGUGAUAGGACUCUGGUCCUGUUCUGUUGGUCUUCGGGACCGGAGUAAUGAUUAAUAGGGACAGUUGGGGGCAUUCGUAUUUCAUUGUCAGAGGUGAAAUUCUUGGAUUUAUGAAAGACGAACUUCUGCGAAAGCAUUUACCAAGGACGUUUUCAUUG
RNAcentral lists this ribosomal RNA (390 nucleotides) under Embryophyta sp. RNAcentral's name for it is "partial small subunit ribosomal RNA". It matches the Rfam family "Eukaryotic small subunit ribosomal RNA", at positions 582 to 975 of the family's 1831-position model. The record is from RNAcentral. Lineage: Eukaryota; Viridiplantae; Streptophyta.